ACUUAAGCAUAUCAAUAAGCGGAGGAAAAAGAAACCAACAGGGAUUACCUCAGUAACGGCGAGUGAAGCGGUAACAGCUCAAAUUUGAAAGCUAGCUCUUUUAGGGUUCGCAUUGUAAUUUGUAGAAGAUGCUUCGGGUGUGGCCCCGGUCUAAGUUCCUUGGAACAGGACGUCAUAGAGGGUGAGAAUCCCGUAUGUGACUGGGUGCUUUCGCUCAUGUGAAGCUCUUUCGACGAGUCGAGUUGUUUGGGAAUGCAGCUCAAAAUGGGUGGUAAAUUUCAUCUAAAGCUAAAUAUUGGCCAGAGACCGAUAGCGCACAAGUAGAGUGAUCGAAAGAUGAAAAGCACUUUGGAAAGAGAGUUAAACAGUACGUGAAAUUGUUGAAAGGGAAGCGCUUGCAACCAGACUUGCGCGCUGAUGAUCAUCCGGGCUUCUGCCCGGUGCACUCGUCUGCGCUCAGGCCAGCAUCGGUUUUGGUGGUGGGAUAAAGGCCUUGGGAAUGUAGCUUCUUUCGGGGAGUGUUAUAGCCCUCGGUGCAAUGCCGCCUACCGGGACCGAGGACCGCGCUUCGGCUAGGAUGCUGGCGUAAUGGUUGUAAGCGACCCGUCUUGAAACACGGACCAAGGAGUCUAACAUCUAUGCGAGUGUUUGGGUGUCAAACCCAUACGCGUAAUGAAAGUGAACGGAGGUGAGAACCCUUAAGGGUGCAUCAUCGACCGAUCCUGAUGUCUUCGGAUGGAUUUGAGUAAGAGCAUAGCUGUUGGGACCCGAAAGAUGGUGAACUAUGCGUGAAUAGGGUGAAGCCAGAGGAAACUCUGGUGGAGGCUCGCAGCGGUUCUGACGUGCAAAUCGAUCGUCAAAUUUGCGUAUAGGGGCGAAAGACUAAUCGA
This 890-nucleotide ribosomal RNA is filed under the name Cadophora fastigiata. RNAcentral describes it as "LSU rRNA". It matches the Rfam family "Eukaryotic large subunit ribosomal RNA", at positions 32 to 938 of the family's 3401-position model. Lineage: Eukaryota; Fungi; Ascomycota; Leotiomycetes; Helotiales; Ploettnerulaceae. The record is from RNAcentral.